RNAcentral lists this ribosomal RNA (384 nucleotides) under uncultured bacterium. RNAcentral's name for it is "bacterial SSU rRNA". It matches the Rfam family "Bacterial small subunit ribosomal RNA", at positions 370 to 772 of the family's 1533-position model. The record is from RNAcentral.
AAUGGAGGAAACUCUGAUGCAGCGACGCCGCGUGAGUGAAGAAGGUCUUCGGAUCGUAAAACUCUGUCCUUGGUGAAGAUAAUGACGGUAGCCAAGGAGGAAGCCCCGGCUAACUACGUGCCAGCAGCCGCGGUAAUACGUAGGGGGCGAGCGUUGUCCGGAUUUACUGGGCGUAAAGGGUGAGUAGGCGGUUGUAUAUGUCAGGUGUAAAAGGCUAUGGCUUAACCAUGGUUAGCACUUGAAACUGUACAACUUGAGUGCAGGAGAGGUAAGUGGAAUUCCUAGUGUAGCGGUGAAAUGCGUAGAUAUUAGGAGGAACACCAGUGGCGAAGGCGACUUACUGGACUGUAACUGACGCUGAGUCACGAAAGCGUGGGUAGCAAA